GACGAACGCUGGCGGCGUGCUUAACACAUGCAAGUCGAACGGGCCCGCUCUCUUUUUUGGGGGUGGGUUGAGUGGCGAACGGGUGAGUAUCACGUGAGUAACCUGCCCCCUGCUCCUGGAUAACUGCUUGAAAGGGCGGCUAAUACGGGGUGUGCCGGCUGGUCCGCAUGGGCCUGGUCGGGAUAGUUUCAUCUUCGGGUGUUUCGGUGGGGGAUGGGCUCGCGGCCUAUCAGCUUGUUGGUGGGGUGAUGGCCCACCAAGGCGGUGACGGGUAGCCGGCCUGAGAGGGUGGGCGGCCACACGGGGAAUGAGACACGGCCCAGACUCCUGCGGGAGGCAGCAGUGGGGGGUAUUGCACAGUGGGCGGAAGCCUGAUGCAGCGACGUUGCGUGAGGGAUGGAGGCCUUCGGGUUGUGAACCUCUUUCUCCGGUGGUGAAGGCCCUGUCCGUUGCGGCGGGGUUGACGGUAGCCGGGUAUGAAGCGCCGGCUAACUACGUG
This 499-nucleotide ribosomal RNA is filed under the name uncultured bacterium. RNAcentral's name for it is "partial 16S ribosomal RNA". It matches the Rfam family "Bacterial small subunit ribosomal RNA", at positions 28 to 507 of the family's 1533-position model. The record is from RNAcentral.